This 331-nucleotide long non-coding RNA is filed under the name Ananas comosus (pineapple). RNAcentral describes it as "long non-coding RNA (ACOM_LNC038890)". Lineage: Eukaryota; Viridiplantae; Streptophyta; Magnoliopsida; Poales; Bromeliaceae. The record is from RNAcentral.
ACCACCUAUAAAUAACUACAGUUGUAACUGUUUUCAAACAGAAUAACAAUUAUAAUUUAUCCUUACCAAAUCUCUCUCACCUCGCUCUCUCACACUCACUCUCCCCUUCUCCCUCCUUGUUAUUCACCAUUCCCGCAUCUUCAUCUACCCAAAAGCUCCUUCAUCAACAAUGGAGGCUCAGAGAUGAAAUCCUAAAAAAUCGGUGGCCAAUCAUCAUUGUAGCCAUCCCAAUCUACUCAAUUCGGAACCAAAUCUAGCUCAGAUCUACUCAGUAAUUUUCCAAAUUCUCACCAUAGCCGACUAGAUCUCCAGAUCAUCGAUAGUUGCUACU